GAACUCACCUCUUCCCUCUCUCAGUCCAGAGAUCUAUCCACUGCACCACUCAGCUGCUGAAUGAAUGUUUGAUGAGUGCCCACUUGAUCCAAUUCAACAAGGAUCUAUGAAGCACCUAGUACAUGCUAGGCAUCGUGCUCAGCCCUGCAGUCAGAGAGACAUCACAAUGACUUCUGCCUUCAAGGAGUUUGCAUUCUCCUGGGGCCUACGACAAGCGCACAAUAAAAUAAACCCUGUCAAGGAAGCAACACUUGGAAAGCCACAGGAAAAGGAAUUGGUUUUGCUUCACAGAUAAGUAGCAGAGACAUCAAGCAG
Non-coding RNA from Phascolarctos cinereus (koala), 315 nucleotides. Lineage: Eukaryota; Metazoa; Chordata; Mammalia; Diprotodontia; Phascolarctidae. The record is from RefSeq and is a predicted model, not a curated record.